This is a long non-coding RNA of Homarus americanus (American lobster), 579 nucleotides long. RefSeq lists it as uncharacterized. NCBI's taxonomy places the organism in Eukaryota, Metazoa, Arthropoda, Malacostraca, Decapoda, Nephropidae. The record is from RefSeq and is a predicted model, not a curated record. The transcript is spliced from 3 exons.
AGUCUUGUGUUGACUGUAUCGACUAACCAAGAGGAAGUAUGGUCGCCAUCCAGAGGUGGGGGAGAAGCCGAUGUUGGAAAGGAUCCAAGUGUUGUAACCAGUCGCCCUGUGCAGCAUGUGCUAAAAGGAGUUGUUGCAGUCCAGAAGACAUGAUUGGUGUGUGUGAUAAUCCAGAGGGACAUUAACGCUCGACUGAAUGUUGGAAAUGAGAGGCAGUAAAGGUGUAAGUAUUGUUUGUUGAAGUUGUACCUAUACUUUGUUAUAAUUUGAAGUAGAGCUUUUGUAACAUUGACGUAUUGUUUUUUGUUUUCAUGUUGGUGGUGGAGGAAUAUGGGCGAAUUGUUGAGAGGAGCGCGUCGACACUGGAUACGGUGAUGUCAAAUUGUGCAAUGUAUUAUUUGAAGGUUUGAGGAUGGAGUGGUGGUGGGUAGUGCCGUAACCAGGUUGCAGAAAGGGUGGCCUACUACAUGUAUGGGGCUGUGCAAUGGACUGUGUUGAGGAGAAGAAGCAGCAGUAGCAGCGGCGGCAGUUGUUUAAGAUAAGUAGUGUGGUGUGGUGCAUCGUGAAUUGUUUGUGAUA